CCUACGGGAGGCAGCAGUGAGGAAUAUUGGUCAAUGGACGAGAGUCUGAACCAGCCAAGUAGCGUGAAGGAUGACUGCCCUAUGGGUUGUAAACUUCUUUUAUAUGGGAAUAAAAUGUUCCACGUGUGGGAUUUUGUAUGUACCAUAUGAAUAAGGAUCGGCUAACUCCGUGCCAGCAGCCGCGGUAAUACGGAGGAUCCGAGCGUUAUCCGGAUUUAUUGGGUUUAAAGGGAGCGUAGGUGGAUUGUUAAGUCAGUUGUGAAAGUUUGCGGCUCAACCGUAAAAUUGCAGUUGAAACUGGGAGUCUUGAGUACAGUAGAGGUGGGGGGAAUUCGUGGUGUAGCGGGGAAAUGCGUAGAUAUAGCGAAGAACGCCGGUGGCGAAGGCGGCUGCCUGGUCUGCAACUGACACGGAGGCUCGAAAGUAGGGGUAUCAAACAGGAUUAGAGACCCUUGUAGUC
This 460-nucleotide ribosomal RNA is filed under the name uncultured bacterium. Its description in RNAcentral is "partial 16S ribosomal RNA". It matches the Rfam family "Bacterial small subunit ribosomal RNA", at positions 338 to 795 of the family's 1533-position model. The record is from RNAcentral.